RNAcentral lists this ribosomal RNA (329 nucleotides) under uncultured Clostridium sp. Its description in RNAcentral is "bacterial SSU rRNA". It matches the Rfam family "Bacterial small subunit ribosomal RNA", at positions 356 to 702 of the family's 1533-position model. Lineage: Bacteria; Bacillati; Bacillota; Clostridia; Eubacteriales; Clostridiaceae. The record is from RNAcentral.
GGGGGAUAUUGCACAAUGGGGGAAACCCUGAUGCAGCAACGCCGCGUGAAGGAAGAAGGUCUUCGGAUUGUAAACUUUUGUCCUUGGUGAAGAUAAUGACGGUAGCCAAGGAGGAAGCUCCGGCUAACUACGUGCCAGCAGCCGCGGUAAUACGUAGGGAGCGAGCGUUGUCCGGAUUUACUGGGUGUAAAGGGUGCGUAGGCGGAAGAGCAAGUCAGUAGUGAAAUCCAUGGGCUUAACCCGUGAACUGCUAUUGAAACUGUUCUUCUUGAGUGAAGUAGAGGUAGGCGGAAUUCCCGGUGUAGCGGUGAAAUGCGUAGAGAUCGGGA